This 706-nucleotide ribosomal RNA is filed under the name uncultured bacterium. RNAcentral describes it as "bacterial SSU rRNA". It matches the Rfam family "Bacterial small subunit ribosomal RNA", at positions 771 to 1501 of the family's 1533-position model. The record is from RNAcentral.
AACAGGAUUAGAUACCCUGGUAGUCCACGCCGUAAACUAUGGAUGCUAGCUGUAAGAAGUAUCGACCCUUCUUGUAGCGAAGCUAACGCGUUAAGCAUCCCGCCUGUGGAGUACGGUCGCAAGACUAAAACAUAAAGGAAUUGACGGGGACCCGCACAAGCGGUGGAGCGUGUUGUUUAAUUCGAUGGUAAGCGAAGAACCUUACCCAGGCUUGACAUCCUGUGAAGGUCUCCGAAAGGAGACUGUGCCUUCGGGAAUACAGUGACAGGUGAUGCAUGGCCGUCGUCAGCUCGUGUCGUGAGAUGUUUGGUUAAGUCCAUCAACGAGCGCAACCCUUGUAGUUAGUUGUAUUUUUCUAGCUAGACUGCCCUGGUAACAGGGAGGAAGGGGGGGAUGAUGUCAGGUCAGUAUUUCCCUUACGUCUGGGGCUACAAACACGCUACAAUGGCCGGUACAAAGGGCAGCCAAAGCGCAAGCUGGAGCAAAUCCCAUCAAAGCCGGUCCCAGUUCGGAUAGCAGGCUGAAACUCGCCUGCUUGAAGAUGGAAUCGCUAGUAACGGUAGGUCAGCACACUACCGUGAAUACGUUCCCGGGUCUUGUACACACCGCCCGUCAAACCAUGAAAGUCGCCAAUACCUGACGUGUUAGCUUUGCCUAGCCCUAAGGUAGGGGAGAUGAUUGGGGGUUAAGUCGUAACAAGGUAACC